ACCUGGGUGGCUCAGUUAAGCAUCUGACUUCAGCUCAGGUCAUGAUCCCAUGGUUUGCAAGUUCAAUCCCUGCUUCAGGUU
Molecule: transfer RNA, 81 nt
Filed under: Felis catus (domestic cat)
Lineage: Eukaryota; Metazoa; Chordata; Mammalia; Carnivora; Felidae
Also listed under: 2 other names
Rfam family: tRNA
About the family: Transfer RNA (tRNA) molecules are approximately 80 nucleotides in length. Their secondary structure includes four short double-helical elements and three loops (D, anti-codon, and T loops).
Source: Rfam by way of RNAcentral